AAUAAGGUGUCUGAAUUUUAGGUCGUAAAUUGUAAAUUUAUGUAUGGUUGAAACCCCUUAUUA
RNAcentral lists this transfer RNA (63 nucleotides) under Neuroctenus yunnanensis. RNAcentral's name for it is "tRNA-Tyr". RNAcentral also lists the same sequence under 1 other name. Lineage: Eukaryota; Metazoa; Arthropoda; Insecta; Hemiptera; Aradidae. The record is from RNAcentral.